RNAcentral lists this ribosomal RNA (250 nucleotides) under uncultured bacterium. RNAcentral describes it as "partial 16S ribosomal RNA". It matches the Rfam family "Bacterial small subunit ribosomal RNA", at positions 355 to 596 of the family's 1533-position model. The record is from RNAcentral.
UGGGGAAUAUUGGACAAUGGGGGGAACCCUGAUCCAGCCAUGCCGCGUGUGUGAAGAAGGCCUUUUGGUUGUAAAGCACUUUAAGCGAGGAGGAGGAGCUCUAGAUUAAUACUCUAGAUGCUUGGACGUUACUCGCAGAAUAAGCACCGGCUAACUCUGUGCCAGCAGCCGCGGUAAUACAGAGGGUGCAAGCGUUAAUCGGAUUUACUGGGCGUAAAGCGUGCGUAGGUGGUCUUUUAAGUCGGAUGUG